Long non-coding RNA from Nerophis ophidion (straightnose pipefish), 460 nucleotides. RefSeq lists it as uncharacterized. Lineage: Eukaryota; Metazoa; Chordata; Actinopteri; Syngnathiformes; Syngnathidae. The record is from RefSeq and is a predicted model, not a curated record. The transcript has 3 exons.
CUUGGCUUGGACAUGGAUUGUUUCUUCGAUGCAGAUGAGGAUCAACACGAGCGAGGCGUGGACUUGACUCGCGGCACGGCUCGUUCAACCCGGGGAUGCAAACAGAACACUCCGGACAGGACUUGCAGAUGUCAUCAGUGUUUGAACCUGACAGCGACGUGUCGGCCGCAGCUUUUUCAGACUCUCAAGUGAGGGAAAAUACGGAAGGUGUUUUGUGUUUCACGCCCCAAGACAGUCUCUGUUCGCCAACAAGAACUCUUAACCUCGACUCCACGCUCGGCCCUCCGCGCCUUGACAUGAGGUCACAAAGCCGUGGGGCUUUCUGGACAAUCAACCUGCAAAGAAAUACUGAUCUGAAAGAGAAAAAAAUGAUCCCUGCUGUGCAGGUGCAUCCAUGCUACAAGGUUUCCAUGUCCACGGCGUGACAGGCGACGAGGCAAUCAUCCCCAGAGAUGGUGAU